Molecule: long non-coding RNA, 251 nt
Organism: Onychomys torridus (southern grasshopper mouse)
Lineage: Eukaryota; Metazoa; Chordata; Mammalia; Rodentia; Cricetidae
Exons: 3
Source: RefSeq, a predicted model, not a curated record
AUGAUCACCCUCUUACGUACAAACAUGUGGACAUACCACACAACCAUCAUGUUUAUCAUCAGACCCAAUCCAAAAGUUUUAAUUGAGAGACAAGCCUGCAUCAGAGACUUCCUGCUCUACUAAAGACUUCUCCAACUGGGAGAAGACCAGGGACAGAAACUCCCAGCUCUGCUGAGAUUGGGAGAAGUGAAGGCCACACUGACCAGAAGACCAGAGAGGAAAUAGAGCACAAGGAACAAAACACCCAUCCA